UACGGAGGGAGCUAGCGUUGUUCGGAAUUACUGGGCGUAAGCGCACGUAGGCGGCUUUGUAAGUUAGAGGUGAAAGCCCGGGGCUCAACCCCGGAAUUGCCUUUAAGACUGCAUCGCUUGAAUCCGGGAGAGGUGAGUGGAAUUCCGAGUGUAGAGGUGAAAUUCGUAGAUAUUCGGAAGAACACCAGUGGCGAAGGCGGCUCACUGGACCGGUAUUGACGCUGAGGUGCGAAAGCGUGGGGAGCAAACAGG
This 252-nucleotide ribosomal RNA is filed under the name uncultured bacterium. Its description in RNAcentral is "partial 16S ribosomal RNA". It matches the Rfam family "Bacterial small subunit ribosomal RNA", at positions 524 to 776 of the family's 1533-position model. The record is from RNAcentral.